AGAAUGAUGACAUGAGUAGCGACAAACAGUGUGAGAGACACUGUCGCCGAAAGUCCAAGGGUUCCUGCUUAAAGCUAAUCUGAGCAGGGUAAGCCGACCCCUAAGGCGAGGCCGAAAGGCGUAGUCGAUGGGAAUCAGGUUAAUAUUCCUGAGCCAGAUGGAAGUGACGAAUUGCGAAGGUUGUUCAUCCUUAUCGGAUUGGAUGGGCCGCUCAGCAGUUCCUGGAAAUAGCUCCAUCAUGAGAUCGUACCCUAAACCGACACAGGUGGACUGGUAGAGAAUACCAAGGCGCUUGAGAGAACGAUGUUGAAGGAACUCGGCAAAAUACCUCCGUAAGUUCGCGAGAAGGAGGCCCAGUUUCUACGCAAGUAUUGGCUGGGGGCACAAACCAGGGGGUGGCGACUGUUUAUUAAAAACACAGG
This 422-nucleotide ribosomal RNA is filed under the name Chromera velia. RNAcentral describes it as "partial Bacterial large subunit ribosomal RNA". It matches the Rfam family "Bacterial large subunit ribosomal RNA", at positions 1291 to 1819 of the family's 2925-position model. The record is from RNAcentral. Lineage: Eukaryota; Chromeraceae.